CUCCUGCAAACAUCUAAGUAUAGGAGGUCCAGCCUGCCCAGUGACUAUGGGUUCAACGGCCGCGGUAUUUUGACCGUGCAAAGGUAGCGCAAUCACUUGUCUUUUAAAUGAAGACCCGUAUGAAUGGCUAAACGAGGGCUUAACUGUCUCCCCUUUCCAGUCAGUGAAAUUGAUCUAUCCGUGCAGAAGCGGGUAUAAAUCUAC
RNAcentral lists this ribosomal RNA (204 nucleotides) under Catostomus commersonii (white sucker). RNAcentral's name for it is "partial 16S ribosomal RNA". It matches the Rfam family "Bacterial large subunit ribosomal RNA", at positions 1820 to 2076 of the family's 2925-position model. The record is from RNAcentral. Lineage: Eukaryota; Metazoa; Chordata; Actinopteri; Cypriniformes; Catostomidae.